RNAcentral lists this long non-coding RNA (1107 nucleotides) under Nicotiana benthamiana. RNAcentral's name for it is "long non-coding RNA (NBEN_LNC024357)". The record is from RNAcentral. Lineage: Eukaryota; Viridiplantae; Streptophyta; Magnoliopsida; Solanales; Solanaceae.
UAGUCGGCUGAAAGCCAAGUCUAGGCUAUGGGGAAACAUGCUUAUUUUCUGCAUUUACAUUUCUUACUGGUAUGUUCUAAUUAAGUUUUCUGCACCAGCAACAACAUGCUUAUUUACUAUUUCUCGCAUUCUUGACUACCUAUUGAUUGCAUUUAACACAGUAUCAUUAUUUAGCAUACUGUAAUUUACCUUUUCCUGUUACGAAUCAAUGUAUUAUGACCUGUGAAUCAUAAAUCCCUACCACUAUGUGUUUGAUACUUGUGGUUGGUUUGGGGCGUGACAACAUUGGACAUUAUUAUGCAUGACCCAAGCUUAAUCCUCUUAGGAACAUAACCUCCAUGUUUCUCUUAUAUGUUGUGUUUUCUAGUUGAUCUACAAGCAUGUCAGCACUUCCUACUAUUGUGCAUGCCCAAAGUCAACCCAUGCCUAAGUGUGAAAGCUCCUUGCAAUGGAUUCCCAAUCCCAUGUUCUCUUUUGUGUCAAGUUAUUGACUCCAUGAAAUAUUAAUGGAUUCCCUCCCAUCACCCCUCCCUCUCAUUUAUUCCCUCAGCUCUUAAAACUCUGUUUCUACAUUAUCACUCUCUUCUUAGACUUAAGUUCUACGACCUUCAUGUGAGCCUUGCCUUGGGACCUAUGAGUUCCAUAUGAACUUGGACACAUGAGGGUUGGCAUUUCCACACUACACUUAUCUCUGUUUUGGUUAUGUAACUUGGGUGUGAGUACUGCCCGAGAUCCUAUUGAGGCCCUUAGGGAACUCUGACACACCCAAGUCUGAGAAAGGCUUUCAAAUCAAUGGCAUUGGCAAUGAUACGGUUCCUUGCAUAUCUCAGAUAUGAAGUCAAAAUAGGAUUUCCUAUGGUCGUAGCUUUUUCUUUCAUUCUUUCUGAUGUAAUUUAGUAUUCCUGGUUUGUAAUAUUUUGAAAUGAACAUUUGGGGAUGGCUAGUGAAAAGGGUUGGGUGAUCAUGUGUGGUCAAGAUUAGAAAGCAUGCCUAUAGGACUAUUGAAAUUCUUUGUAUUCAAUUCUGCACAUUUAUUAGACACCAUGUCUAUAGGGUUUAUCUCAAUUUCUUCAUGGUCAAUGUCACACCUAGAAAACCUACCUAUAG